UACAGAGGGUGGCAAGCGUUGUUCGGAAUUAUUGGGCGUAAAGGGCGCGUAGGCGGUGCCACAAGUCACCUGUGAAAUCUCCGGGCUUAACUCGGACCUGCAGGCGAAACUGUGGUGCUGGAGUGUGGGAGAGGUGCGUGGAAUUCCCGGUGUAGCGGUGAAAUGCGCAGAUAAGUCGGGAGGAACACCCAGUAGCGAAGGCGACACUCUGGGCCGGUACUGAACGCUGAGGAGGCGAAAGCGUGGGGAGCAACAGG
Molecule: ribosomal RNA, 257 nt
Filed under: uncultured bacterium
Lineage: Bacteria
Description: partial 16S ribosomal RNA
Rfam family: Bacterial small subunit ribosomal RNA
Source: RNAcentral